Molecule: ribosomal RNA, 815 nt
Filed under: uncultured Bacteroidota bacterium
Lineage: Bacteria; Pseudomonadati; Bacteroidota
Description: bacterial SSU rRNA
Rfam family: Bacterial small subunit ribosomal RNA
Source: RNAcentral
AGCGGCGAGUUAGGUAGUAAUACUUGACCUAGAGCGGCGCACGGGUGCGUAACGCGUAUGCAACCUACCUUUUACAGGGGGAUAGCCCGGAGAAAUCUGGAUUAAUACCCCAUAGUACCUAAGGAUCGAUUGGUUUUUAGUUUAAAGAUUUAUCGGUAAAAGAUGGGCAUGCGUCUGAUUAGCUAGUUGGCGGGGUAACGGCCCACCAAGGCGACGAUCAGUAGGGGUUCUGAGAGGAAGGUCCCCCACACUGGCACUGAGAUACGGGCCAGACUCCUACGGGAGGCAGCAGUAGGGAAUAUUGGGCAAUGGUCGCAAGACUGACCCAGCCAUGCCGCGUGCAGGAAGACGGCCCUCUGGGUUGUAAACUGCUUUUAUCUGGGAAGAAAAAGUCCAUGCGUGGAAAAUUGCCGGUACCAGAUGAAUAAGCACCGGCUAACUCCGUGCCAGCAGCCGCGGUAAUACGGAGGGUGCAAGCGUUGUCCGGAUUUAUUGGGUUUAAAGGGUGCGUAGGCGGCUGAAUAAGUCAGCGGUGAAAGACUUCGGCUUAACCGGAGCAGUGCCGUUGAUACUGUUUAGCUUGAGUGUUGGAGGGGUACAUGGAAUUGAUGGUGUAGCGGUGAAAUGCAUAGAUACCAUCAGGAACACCGAUAGCGAAGGCAUUGUACUGGCCAACAACUGACGCUGAGGCACGAAAGUGUGGGGAUCGAACAGGAUUAGAUACCCUGGUAGUCCACACUGUAAACGAUGAUUACUCGCUGUUAUGCUGUAUAGUGUAGCGGCCAAGCGAAAGCGUUAAGUAAUCCACCUGGGGA